Molecule: long non-coding RNA, 316 nt
Organism: Oncorhynchus tshawytscha (Chinook salmon)
Lineage: Eukaryota; Metazoa; Chordata; Actinopteri; Salmoniformes; Salmonidae
Source: Ensembl
AUGCUACUGAGCCAGAUGUCUAUGUGUCAGGGGAGAAGCUCCAGGUGGUAUCUGAUGCUACUGAGCCAGAUGUCUAUGUGUCAGGGGAGAAGCUCCAGGUGGUAUCUGAUGCUACUGAGCCAGAUGUCUAUGUGUCAGGGGAGAAGCUCCAGGUGGUAUCUGAUUUUAAGUACCUUGGCAUCAUACUUGAUUCCAACCUCUCUUUUAAAAAGCAUGUGAAAAAGGUAAUUCAAAUAACCAAAUUCAACCUAGCUAAUUUCCGAUUUAUACGAAAUUGUUUGACUACAGAGGUAGCAAAACUGUACUUCGAAUCUAU